GACGAACGCUGGCGGCGUGCUUAACACAUGCAAGUCGAACGGAAAGGCCCUGCUUUUGUGGGCUGCUCGAGUGGCGAACGGGUGAGUAACACGUGAGUAACCUGCCCUUGACUUUGGGAUAACUUCAGGAAACUGGGGCUAAUACCGGAUAGGAGCUCCUGCUGCAUGGUGGGGGUUGGAAAGUUUCGGCGGUUGGGGAUGGACUCGCGGCUUAUCAGCUUGUUGGUGGGGUAGUGGCUUACCAAGGCUUUGACGGGUAGCCGGCCUGAGAGGGUGACCGGCCACAUUGGGACUGAGAUAAGGCCCAGACUCCUACGGGAGGCAGCAGUGGGGAAUAUUGCACAAUGGGCGGAAGCCUGAUGCAGCAACGCCGCGUGCGGGAUGACGGCCUUCGGGUUGUAAACCGCUUUCGCCUGUGACGAAGCGUGAGUGACGGUAAUGGGUAAAGAAGCACCGGCUAGCUACGUG
RNAcentral lists this ribosomal RNA (468 nucleotides) under uncultured bacterium. RNAcentral describes it as "partial 16S ribosomal RNA". It matches the Rfam family "Bacterial small subunit ribosomal RNA", at positions 28 to 507 of the family's 1533-position model. The record is from RNAcentral.